AUUGAACGCUGGCGGCAUGCCUUACACAUGCAAGUCGAACGGUAACAGGUCUUCGGAUGCUGACGAGUGGCGCACGGGUGAGUAAUACAUCGGAACGUGCCCGAUCGUGGGGGAUAACGAGGCGAAAGCUUUGCUAAUACCGCAUACGAUCUACGGAUGAAAGCGGGGGAUCUUCGGACCUCGCGCGGACGGAGCGGCCGCUGGCAGCUUAGGUAGUUGGUGGGAUAAAAGCUUACCAAGCCGACGAUCUGUAGCUGGUCUGAGUGGAUGAUCAGCCACACUGGGACUGAGACACGGCCCAGACUCCUACGGGAGGCAGCAGUGGGGAAUUUUGGACAAUGGGCGAAAGCCUGAUCCAGCCAUGCCGCGUGCAGGAUGAAGGCCUUCGGGUUGUAAACUGCUUUUGUACGGAACGAAAAGCCUCUUUCUAAUAAAGAGGGGUCACGACGGUACCGGAAGAAUAAGCACCGGCUAACUACGUG
This 482-nucleotide ribosomal RNA is filed under the name uncultured bacterium. Its description in RNAcentral is "partial 16S ribosomal RNA". It matches the Rfam family "Bacterial small subunit ribosomal RNA", at positions 30 to 507 of the family's 1533-position model. The record is from RNAcentral.